UAACAAGGAUUCCCCUAGUAACUGCGAGUGAAGCGGGAAAAGCUCAAAUUUAAAAUCUGGCAGUCUUUGGCUGUCCGAGUUGUAGUCUGGAGAAGUGCUUUCUGUGCUGGACCGUGUAUAAGUCUCUUGGAACAGAGCGUCAUAGAGGGUGAGAAUCCCGUCUUUGACACGGACUACCAGUGCUUUGUGAUGCGCUCUCAAAGAGUCGAGUUGUUUGGGAAUGCAGCUCAAAAUGGGUGGUGAAUUCCAUCUAAAGCUAAAUAUUGGCGAGAGACCGAUAGCGAACAAGUACCGUGAGGGAAAGAUGAAAAGCACUUUGGAAAGAGAGUUAAACAGUACGUGAAAUUGCUGAAAGGGAAACACUUGAAGUCAGUCAUGUUAGCCAGAACUCAGCCUUGCUUUUGCUUGGUGCAUUUUCUGGUUGACAGGUCAGCAUCAAUUUUGACCAUUGGAAAAAGGCUAAAGUAAUGUGGCACCCUCGGGUGUGUUAUAGACUUUAGUCACAUACAGUGGUUGGGAUUGAGGAACGCAGCGCGCCGUAAGGCAGGGGUUUACCCACUUUCGCGCUUAGGAUGCUGGCAU
RNAcentral lists this ribosomal RNA (582 nucleotides) under Cryptoporus volvatus. RNAcentral's name for it is "LSU rRNA". It matches the Rfam family "Eukaryotic large subunit ribosomal RNA", at positions 66 to 632 of the family's 3401-position model. Lineage: Eukaryota; Fungi; Basidiomycota; Agaricomycetes; Polyporales; Polyporaceae. The record is from RNAcentral.